GAUGAACGCUGGCGGCGUGCCUAAUACAUGCAAGUCGAGCGCAGCGGGGACGGGUGAGUAACACGUGGAUAACCUCCUAUAAGACUGGGAUAACUUCGGGAAACCGGAGCUAAACCGGAUACUUAUAGAUGGAUCCGGGCGGCAUUAGCUAGUUGGUAAGGUAACGGCUUACCAGGGCAACGAUGCAUAGCCGACCUGUGUGGGUGAUCGACCAAACUGGAACACAGACACGGUCAAGAGUCAUACGGGAGGCAGCAAGAGGGAAUGUGCCGCAAGGGGCGAAAGCCGGAAGGAGCAACGCGGCAUGAGUAAGGAAGGUCUUCGGAACGUAAUACACUGUUAGUAGAGUGGCGGUACCGAAGCGGAAAGCCACGGCUAACUACGUGCCAGGAGCCGCGGUAAUAC
RNAcentral lists this ribosomal RNA (405 nucleotides) under uncultured bacterium. RNAcentral describes it as "partial 16S ribosomal RNA". It matches the Rfam family "Bacterial small subunit ribosomal RNA", at positions 28 to 526 of the family's 1533-position model. The record is from RNAcentral.